RNAcentral lists this ribosomal RNA (705 nucleotides) under Roseovarius sp. RNAcentral describes it as "bacterial SSU rRNA". It matches the Rfam family "Bacterial small subunit ribosomal RNA", at positions 49 to 799 of the family's 1533-position model. Lineage: Bacteria; Pseudomonadati; Pseudomonadota; Alphaproteobacteria; Rhodobacterales; Roseobacteraceae. The record is from RNAcentral.
ACCUACCAUGCAAGUCGAGCGAGAUCUUCGGAUCUAGCGGCGGACGGGUGAGUAACGCGUGGGAACGUACCCUCUUCUGCGGGAUAGCCACUGGAAACGGUGAGUAAUACCGCAUACGCCCUUCGGGGGAAAGAUUUAUCGGAGGAGGAUCGGCCCGCGUUGGAUUAGGUAGUUGGUGGGGUAAUGGCCUACCAAGCCUACGAUCCAUAGCUGGUUUUAGAGGAUGAUCAGCCACACUGGGACUGAGACACGGCCCAGACUCCUACGGGAGGCAGCAGUGGGGAAUCUUAGACAAUGGGCGCAAGCCUGAUCUAGCCAUGCCGCGUGAGUGACGAAGGCCUUAGGGUCGUAAAGCUCUUUCGCCUGUGAUGAUAAUGACAGUAGCAGGUAAAGAAACCCCGGCUAACUCCGUGCCAGCAGCCGCGGUAAUACGGAGGGGGUUAGCGUUGUUCGGAAUUACUGGGCGUAAAGCGCACGUAGGCGGAUUGGAAAGUAUGGGGUGAAAUCCCAGGGCUCAACCCUGGAACGGCCUCAUAAACUUCCAGUCUGGAGUUCGAGAGAGGUGAGUGGAAUUCCGAGUGUAGAGGUGAAAUUCGUAGAUAUUCGGAGGAACACCAGUGGCGAAGGCGGCUCACUGGCUCGAUACUGACGCUGAGGUGCGAAAGUGUGGGGAGCAAACAGGAUUAGAUACCCUGGUAGUCCACA